AUUUGACUCAACGCGGGGAAUCUUACCGGGUCCGGACACACUGAGGAUUGACAGACAGUUGUCUUUCCCUCCCUUCGGGGUGGGAUUACAAAAGAUAACAGAUCUUUCAUGAUCAUGUGAUGGGUGGUGCAUGGCCGUUCUUAGUUCGUGGAGUGAUCUGUCUGCUUAAUUGCGUUUCAAAUUUUAUAUUUGUUAACAUGCGAGUCUUCAAUGACGGCCACUCCACCUUAUAGACAUUAUAUGAUAUGCACAUUUGUGUAUUUGAUUAUAACUUGUCUGGAGUCUGGCUCGAUUUUUUUGACUCAAUUGAACGCAACGGACGUGAUUGCAAGUCCUUGUUGAACAAAUUAUAUAUAUACUACUUCAUCAUUAGUAUAUAUAGUUCGCUUCUCAUGUCGUAGCAGUCAAACGGGCGGGCGUCUUAAUUGGCGCGGUCACGAGGCUUAAUAUGCUGCGGCUGGGGAAAACUUGGGCGACCGCUGUAAUACUUCUCUCUUAAACCAGAGGAAGAUUGCGGCAAUAACAGGUC
This 529-nucleotide ribosomal RNA is filed under the name Globigerinella siphonifera. Its description in RNAcentral is "bacterial SSU rRNA". It matches the Rfam family "Eukaryotic small subunit ribosomal RNA", at positions 1193 to 1462 of the family's 1831-position model. Lineage: Eukaryota; Foraminifera; Rotaliida; Globigerinidae. The record is from RNAcentral.